RNAcentral lists this ribosomal RNA (465 nucleotides) under Vreelandella stevensii. RNAcentral describes it as "partial 16S ribosomal RNA". It matches the Rfam family "Bacterial small subunit ribosomal RNA", at positions 338 to 795 of the family's 1533-position model. Lineage: Bacteria; Pseudomonadati; Pseudomonadota; Gammaproteobacteria; Oceanospirillales; Halomonadaceae. The record is from RNAcentral.
CCUACGGGAGGCUGCAGUGGGGAAUAUUGGACAAUGGGGGGAACCCUGAUCCAGCCAUGCCGCGUGUGUGAAGAAGGCCCUCGGGUUGUAAAGCACUUUCAGUGAGGAAGAACGCCUGGUGGUUAAUACCCAUCAGGAAAGACAUCACUCACAGAAGAAGCACCGGCUAACUCCGUGCCAGCAGCCGCGGUAAUACGGAGGGUGCGAGCGUUAAUCGGAAUUACUGGGCGUAAAGCGCGCGUAGGUGGCUUGAUAAGCCGGUUGUGAAAGCCCCUGGCUCAACCUGGGAACGGCAUCCGGAACUGUCAAGCUAGAGUGCAGGAGAGGAAGGUAGAAUUCCCGGUGUAGCGGUGAAAUGCGUAGAGAUCGGGAGGAAUACCAGUGGCGAAGGCGGCCUUCUGGACUGACACUGACACUGAGGUGCGAAAGCGUGGGUAGCAAACAGGAUUAGAUACCCUAGUAGUC